This 155-nucleotide ribosomal RNA is filed under the name Bos taurus (domestic cattle). Its description in RNAcentral is "partial small subunit ribosomal RNA". The record is from RNAcentral. Lineage: Eukaryota; Metazoa; Chordata; Mammalia; Artiodactyla; Bovidae.
UACGGCGUAAACGUGUUAAGCACCAUACCAAAUAGGGUUAAAUUCUAACUAAGCUGUAAAAAGCCAUGAUUAAAAUAAAAAUAAAUGACGAAAGUGACCCUACAAUAGCCGACGCACUAUAGCUAAGACCCAAACUGGGAUUAGAUACCCCACAA